CGAUGAGGUAGAGGUGCGAAUAAUAAGAGUAAGCAAUCGGAGUAUGACAUCGUUGAGGAUUGCCGAAAGGAUUAUUUGCCGAAGCAAAAGUGAAAGUCGAAUUCAUUAUUGCUGGGAUGUCUUCUGAAUAAGAGGCAUACUGUCAUGCAACGCUAGUGCAUGGAGAACUACUGAUCAG
Molecule: non-coding RNA, 178 nt
Filed under: Ornithinibacillus halophilus
Lineage: Bacteria; Bacillati; Bacillota; Bacilli; Caryophanales; Bacillaceae
Description: Lysine sequence
Rfam family: Lysine riboswitch aptamer
About the family: Riboswitches are metabolite binding domains within certain messenger RNAs that serve as precision sensors for their corresponding targets. Allosteric rearrangement of mRNA structure is mediated by ligand binding, and this results in modulation of gene expression. This family includes riboswitches that sense lysine in a number of genes involved in lysine metabolism, including lysC.
Source: Rfam by way of RNAcentral